Melospiza melodia melodia is the source of this 2505-nucleotide long non-coding RNA. RefSeq lists it as uncharacterized. The record is from RefSeq and is a predicted model, not a curated record. Lineage: Eukaryota; Metazoa; Chordata; Aves; Passeriformes; Passerellidae. The transcript is spliced from 6 exons.
AUCAAUAUAAACGAUAAAUAUAUAUAAAAUGUCAACUAUCUAUAAGAAGGAAUAAAAGCUCUGUGUCACGUGCAGCAGUAGAAAAUUUCAGGCUCCCAGGGAAUAAAUAGUUUUCUUUAAAUCAUUUUCGUUUUGGAUUUUUUUUUUUACUCCCGGGUAGCCUGAAAGUUUCUACUGCUGCUUUUUUAUUCUAAAGGUGGAAAGGAAAACCAAGAUCAGAAAUACAAGAAAGGGGAAGGGGAAGGGAAGGAAGGGAAGCAGGAGAGGAAGAGGGAAGGGAAGUGGUGAAAAACAGGGUGAAAAAAGUAAAAAGAGUUGGAGGGAAAAAGAGAGGGCAUCCGGGAAGAGCGGUGCUGCCUCAGGUCCUUCCCCGCCCUGGGGCGAAGGAGCCGUUUGAUGCCCGGGAGGGAGUGCAGGUCCCGGUGGCUCCCGGGGGACGGAGCGGUGGCUGUCAGCCCGAGACUCCAACUCCCGGCAGGCCGUGCUGCCGGCGCGGCGUGUGACGCAACGGCUAUCGCGGCACAUGAGUGGCUGUCAGCCCGAGACUCCAACUCCCGGCAGGCCCUGCUGCUGGCGCGGCGUGUGACGCAACGGGCGACGCGGCCCGGCAUUUUUCUCUAAAUCGGCAGUAAAUACAGCUGAGUAAAAUUAGCUUGGUUUUCUUCCUUCUUUUGUAACUGAACUGUUUUUAUUAAAAAUCCUAUUUGAAUAUGUAGAAAAAGUGGGGAUGUCCUGUAAUAUAUCGUAGCUUUUCUUGUUUACAGGGUACUGAGAAAAUACGUCUCCCUUAGAGUACCGCGGAAAGGUUCUCAGUGCGCUCUCUAUCAAGUGCUAUGAGUCUUGAUAAAUUGGAGAAGAGCCCAAGAGAAAUUUUUCAUCCCUUGAUAUAAAAGGAUUUAUUGGUUCUGGAAGAACAAGAGGGAAGUACAAGCCUAACUACUUCUAGCUCACAGGCCCGUCCAGUGAACCCAGGGACCGGUGAAUUUUAACUUUGGAGUCCCCUAUGCUAAGGAUGCUCAGCUUACAGGUGAUGAAAUGUUCAGUAAUGUAUUUGCUGCAGCUCUGCUUACCCAAGCUUUGGGUUCCUUCUGUCCCACUGGGAGUUGCCCAGUUUGGUUGCAUCUGGUGAAAUUCACCCUGAGACCUUACAGAACUAGCUCCAACUACGUGAGAGCCAUUUGCAGUUCUCUCCAGACACCUGGAGAAUGGGUGACGUUUCUGAGGAUCCGGCGAGCGUGCUUCUAUCAAAACUCAGUCUGUGAAAUUCCUGGGGAAAACCCUUCUGUGUCCUGAAGGGUUCAAACUCUGGUGAGGAUCCAGUUAUCAGGGGCUCACCUGGAUGGUUCCAGCUCCCAAAGUUAACACUUGUACUCUUGCCCUGUAGUUUACAUCUAUUGUAUUUUUGUUAUUUUGCAACAUUUUUUGUCUUUGCAAAAUAUUGUGCAUUUCACUCUUUGGAACCUCUCAGAUGGUUCUUUGGUGCAGCACCACCCCAGGGGACACUUGGCUGCUGUCCUGAAGGGUUUGGUCGCUAGAAUUGUGAAUCCUGGAGAGUUUGUGAGUCUUCUGUCCCCAGGGAGGUGUCGUGCUUUGUUUACUUUUGUUCUGUUGGUUAGGCGCUGCUUCUCGUUGCAAGUAUGAAUUUCAAACUGCCCUGUUCUUAUUUUAACUGUUUUCCUGGUUCUCUCUGUCCGGCAGGGAAAGACUCUCGUAUCCUUGUCGUCGGGCUCGGUGCUGUCCAAGAAGAUACAGAGACUAAAAAAAUCAUAAGAAGCAAAAUAUGACUGCAGGGAAAAGAAGCUGGAGAGAACAGAAGACUCAUCACGGCGGGACAGCGUGAGGACUGAAAGUGUAAGAAGAUGUGGAGGGAAACAGAGAAUCUGACAGGAGCAGCGAACGCACGAGUGCAGGAAUUUUGCUUUUUGCUUGGAUGUAAACUCAGGAGUUGAGAGGAAUUUGGGAGUGAGAAGGGACAUUUCAGAAGGAGAAGAAGAAAAAGAGGUUGUUGUUGUUGUUACAGUCCUGGCAAAAUCUUUUGUUCUAGCUAAUAAAAGAAGUUAGUUUAAAAAACAAAAAGGAAAAAAUGUAGUGUUUUUUUUUUCCUUCACUAUGAUAUUCAUUGGUGGUAUAUGGUGUGUUGUUUUAUUUCUUGGUAUUAUUAACUCUGUGUAAAUUGUUUUUUGAGUGAAGCUGACUUUCUGGAUGGGUUGGUUUGUAUUUGAGGCAGGAUUAAUUUCAGUAGGGUUCUUUCAUAGAUUUCUGAUGGGUAUUACUGGGAUUUUGGUUUUGUUUACUGUAUGUAUAAACCUAGAGCUUUGGUAGGGCCAGCUGGGCUGCUGGAGUUUUGGGUGUGAAUUUAUUAGAUGGCUUUUGUUAGAUGCAGUUUUUAAUUUUUGAAAUGUUUUUCAAUGUAGUGGUUUUAAGGUGGUUUUUAAGAAUUCAUUGUAUUGCUUUAUCUUGUUUGUAGUUGGUGUAUGAUAAGGGAUGUGGUGUGACUUUUUGAAC